Molecule: ribosomal RNA, 536 nt
Filed under: Bacillus cereus
Lineage: Bacteria; Bacillati; Bacillota; Bacilli; Caryophanales; Bacillaceae
Description: bacterial SSU rRNA
Rfam family: Bacterial small subunit ribosomal RNA
Source: RNAcentral
UCUUAUGAAGUUAGCGGCGGACGGGUGAGUAACACGUGGGUAACCUGCCCAUAAGACUGGGAUAACUCCGGGAAACCGGGGCUAAUACCGGAUAACAUUUUGAACCGCAUGGUUCGAAAUUGAAAGGCGGCUUCGGCUGUCACUUAUGGAUGGACCCGCGUCGCAUUAGCUAGUUGGUGAGGUAACGGCUCACCAAGGCAACGAUGCGUAGCCGACCUGAGAGGGUGAUCGGCCACACUGGGACUGAGACACGGCCCAGACUCCUACGGGAGGCAGCAGUAGGGAAUCUUCCGCAAUGGACGAAAGUCUGACGGAGCAACGCCGCGUGAGUGAUGAAGGCUUUCGGGUCGUAAAACUCUGUUGUUAGGGAAGAACAAGUGCUAGUUGAAUAAGCUGGCACCUUGACGGUACCUAACCAGAAAGCCACGGCUAACUACGUGCCAGCAGCCGCGGUAAUACGUAGGUGGCAAGCGUUAUCCGGAAUUAUUGGGCGUAAAGCGCGCGCAGGUGGUUUCUUAAGUCUGAUGUGAAAGCCC